GGCAAUCUGUUAGGGUUUGUGUCUGUCGUGUGGAAGCUUUGUUCAUUCGUCUUUUGCAAUAAAUCUUGCUACUGCUCAGUCUUUGGGUCCACACUGCUUUUAUGAGCUGUAGCAGUCACCACGAAGGUCUGCAGCUGCACUCCUGAGGCUAGCGAGACCACGAACCCACCGGGAGGAGCGAACGACUCCAGACGCGCUGACUUAAGAGCUGUAACAGCUUACCGCUAAGGUCUGCAGCUUCACUCCUGAGCCAGAGAGACCAGGAACCCACCUAGAAGGAACAAACUCCGGACAUGCCGCCUUUAAGAGCUGUAACACUCACCGCCAGGGUCCGCAGCUGCAUUCUUGAAGUCAGUGAGACCAAGAACCCACCAAUUCCAGACACACUGUCAUCAAAAAGUGGGAUAUCUUUUUAAACAGAGAUAACAUUGCAGAAUCUUGGAGUUGGAAAUAGACCUCAGCUGGGGUUUAGUCCUGUUUUCUCCUCAGAGCAGAAGUCCUGGGAUGCCGUUCUGGACUGAUUGUCAGUUUUUUCUCCUGUCCUUGAGCUAUUCUAAUGCCAGACAUCUGUGGCUUUACACAGCCAGGCUUUCAGUUAGAGAACUUGGUUAGCUCAGGUCAACAAAUGCUGCUCUGAGAACACUGACUCCCAUGUGGGGAGACUCUGCACCUGGAGCUCCGGGAGAGCCGGCUCAGGCCUCUUCCUGCUAUCCAGGGAACUGCAGUGGCGUUGGAGGGCCUUGCUGGGGCUGGGGCUGGGGAGAAGGGAUUCCAACCCUACUGAUAAUUCGUUUGGAAACACCGGGCUGUGGAUUUCAGAAGUUCUUGGGCAGCCUGAUUACCACUGGCAGUGAGCCGGGGACGAAGCCGAAGCUAUGAGUGACAGACGGAAAGAACUGGGGGCUUUGGUGAACCAGAGAACACUUAGCUCCUCCAGCCCUGAAGCAGGCGUCACCGCAGGGCUUAUGGUCCUAAGAGCCACUUAGUUUCCUUAUUCAUUAAACUAGUUUAAUUUGGGUUUUCUGCAUCCUGGAGGACACCAAGUCGGUGUGCGGAGGGACCCUGUAGACACGUGUGCAAAGAAUAAGCCGACGAUCAUGGAAUUUCUGAUGACGCCACUGACACGUGGGAUGGAGGCCUCCUUCCCAGGGCACCCCUACACUCAUGACAAUGAAUCCUGGCUCUUAUUCACCCCUUUGGAUUUCACAAGCAAGUAAGAAAAGAGAAGGACAGAAUUAAACAUGGGGACAGAUGAAGAAGUAAAGAAGAUGAAAAUGAGGAAGAUAAAAAACAAACUGAAGACACAAUGUGAACCCUGGGAAUUCAAGGCUGAAUAGUACGAAGUCCUUUCCUCACAGAGUUCAGGACCCAGGAGUGGAGGCCAGAUAAGGACCAAAUGACAGAAGGUGAGAGAACCAGAUGCAUUACCACAGACACCUGUUGGGAGAGGACGCUUGAGACUGUUUUGACAAGAAGCAAAAACUCAGAGAACUCUGUGAAGUCUCUAAGAAAAGGCCAGGAGAGCACCAGCAAGGGGUUGGUGGCAGCUUUAAAGAUGCCCCUAUGUGACUGCCAGGACCCUCUUUCCGGGAUGCCACACGAGGCUUUGAAGACAGGUCUAAUUCUAUCCUGACAGUAUCACCCUAGUCAUUCCAACAUCCCUUUUAGUUCUAACGCCUUAAGAAAUCCAGCAACCCCCUUUGCAGUCCCCAAGCUGAGGCCUUCUAAAAUGCCCCUGAGGCUGGUGGCUGAGGACUCAGGGCUCAGCGGAGGAUGGGGUCUGGGUGUCCCCCUGGACAAGUUUCCCACUAGCUGAGAUGCAGGCUGAAGCACAAGAAAAGGGGAAGAACAGAGGAGUUCUGAGCUGGCCUGGGGCAUAAAGCACUUGGAGGUAUAAAACAAUGACUUCUUCUUGGUGCUGCUUGCUGCGUCCUUCUUGAGUGUAAUGAGCCCUGAGUAUUCCUGGUCACCUUUCCUGGUGCUGUGGUGAGUGCUCAUUCCUCCGGCAUGGAGGGUGCCAGGGACUUGGGCUGCCUGUGCCAUGCUAUCGAUUUUCUUCCCUAACCCCCACACUUAUGCUGAUCAUUCUGUUAGUACUCCACACAAGGCUGUGAGGUGUUGGUUGUUGCUGUUGUGUUAUUUCUUUAGAACUCUGAAAGGACAUGCUCACUCCAAUGUCCCCACGGGUCUGAGCUGAAGGACCCUGCAGUGUCCUGCUCCAUCAAACAUCACUGAGUUCAUCUCCUUGGAAGAGGAAGCUGCCACUUCCAAGUCAGACCUGACCGUCACAGCCUCUGUAAUCACCUGUGGUAGGCAGAAAUCUGACCCCCGCCCCCCGCAACCCCCCGCCAAUUGUACAAGCCCGAAUCCCCAGAACCUGGGACUCUGUCACCUUACAUGACAAAAGAGACCAUGCAAAUGUGAAUAGUCAAGAAUUUAAAAUAGGGACAUGAUCCUGCGUUAUCUGGACAAACCGAAGGUAAUCACAAGGUUCUCAGAAAUGAAGAGGAGAGGUAGGAGACUCCACAUAAACAUGUCCUCCAAAAUCAGAACACUUGUCUCACCUUUGCAGGCUUUGAAAAGGGGGAACGCACCUCCAGCCUCACAACGCAGGUGCCUCUGGAAGCUGGAAAAGGCAAGGGAACGAUUCUCCCCUGGGUCUCCAGGAGGAAUGAGGCUCUGCAGGCAGCUCCAUCUUAACAUGCUGAACCUUAUUUUGGACUUCCAACCUUCACAACUGCAAGAUAAUACAUUUUUGUUGUUUUAAGCCACUAAGUUUGUGGUCAUUUGUGACAGCAGCAACACAAAACCAAUGCAUUGCUUCAUCUUCAAAUGCUACAUUUCUAGUGGCAUUUUAAAAGGUUUAUAAAGUGUACAGAUAUAUGAUACAGAUAUAAUGAUAUAAUUUAUCAUGCAAAUAAGGACCCAUUCUUGGGAGUGAAAGAGGUGUCAUUAAUAAUUACACAGAAACAGGCACAGUGGCUCAACCUGUAAUCCCAGCACUUCGGAAGGCCAAGACAGGUGGAUCACUUGAUGCCAGGUGUUCCAGACCAGCCUGGCCAACUUGGCUAAACCCCAUCUCUACAAAAAAUACAAAAAGUAGUUGGAAGUGGUGGUGUGCACCUAUAAUCCCAGGUACUCGGGAGGCUGAGGCAUGAGAAUCACUUGAACCCGGAAGGUGGAGGUUGCAGUGAGCCGAGACUGCACUCCAGACUGGGUGAUGGAGUGAGACCCUGUCUCAAAAAAAAAAACAGAAAAACCCACAAAAUUCCAUGGAAACAAUAGGCAUGACUGAGAGUAUCUGGCUCCAACUGUGAAGUACCAUCACCCUAUGGAACAUGACAGACACGUCUCCAGUUCUGUUGUUUCUGGCGCAGCUGUGCAUGUUUGCGUUUUGCUUAUGUGGAGCACCGUGGGUGAGAGGAGCAGUCAGGUAAGAAGCAGGUGCAAGUGAGGUUUUUUUUCUUCAUUUCCCAGCCAUCUUUCUUCAAUAUGAUGGACUAGGGUCAUGUCUGCUCCUAAGAUGAGACUUCCCCUUCCUCUCCACUUGUUUUUCGUCUGCCACCCUCAUUCCUGAAUACUUUUACUCAGAUGCUCAAGGUGCCAGUAUAUAUGUUUGGUGGGAGGAGGAGGAUGUUUCUUCACAGGUCCAACACUGCAAUAUCUUAUCCCUCAUCAUCUUUGAGUGCCAUCAUGCUAGAAUUCCACAUUUUCUCUUUCCUGUUACUCCUAUCAAUAAUUUAAACAGGAAAAUAAAGCAUCAAUAGACUCCUCAGAGGAUAAGAUGGGUGACUAACUUUGGACUCUGGUGGUUUUGUCUCUGAAUUUAUCCCAGGCCAUAGCAAAAAAGUAAGAAAGUUGAUGGAAAUCUAAACAGAAAGCUGUGACUAUUUUCUAGGGAAUCAGAGCUCUUUGAGCUCUCAUUGAAUAUGUGCUCACAGAAAAGAACAGCCACAAGCCAUCUAUCCAGUACCACCCCAUAAAAGAAAGACCACAUGCUGAGAAACUUUUAGCAGGGGGAGUAUAAUUACUGGAAAAUACAGAAAUCAAUUUAAAUGAACAAUAAUUGCUAGUAUUUAUUAUGUUUCAAGCACUGUUCUAAGCAACUUACCUACUUUGUUUCUUUUGCUCUUUUCAGUAGCUCUAUGACAUAGGCACUUAUUUCUGUUUCGCAGAUGAAUAAACUCAAGCAAGGAGGAGCUAAGAAUCUUUCUAAAACUUACACAGCUAAUAAGAGACAGAAUUUCAGUUAGGACCAGGAAGUCUAGGCACAGGGCCCGCAGACUGGAACUCAAAGAGACCCUAACAGAACAUAUGGGAAAUAUGAGCUAGGAUCAGGCUGUCACCAGGUAAAGGAAAUGAAAAUAUUUUUUAUGAAAAAUACAAUUGCUUAGACAAAAAACACAAGGGCUAAAUAUUAAGUUGGUGUAAAGGUAAUGGCGUUUUUUUUGCCGUUACUUCUAAUUGCAAAAACUGCCAUUACUUUUACACCACCCUAAUAGCAAAAUGACUGUAGUCACAGUAGGCAGAAGUGAGCUGGAAAAAUCAGGAGAGGAGGUCUCCAAAUAAUUCCAUUAGUGAUAAAUGGAUGGAAAAAUUUAAAAAGAAAGUUAAGAGGAAUGGAAGAAAGAAGUUGAAGUAUUGAAAGUCCUAAUAUGAGUGACUAAGUAGAAAAAAAAACCAGAUGAUAUAUUUUGUUAAAUAAUGACAGAGAGCCUUCCAGUAUUAAAGAAAGUCGGAAGGCCUAGGAUGGAAAAGUGUAGAGUGCCAAGCAGAAGAGAUGGGGAGACCCGCAUUUGGCUAUGUUGCGGUGGCUCGCGCCUGUAAUCCCAGCACUUUGGGAGACCGAGGCUGGCGGAUCACGAGGUCAAGAGAUCGAGACCAUCCUGGCCAACACAGUGAAACCCUGUCUCUACUAAAAAUACAGGUGCGUGCCUGUAAUCCCAGCUACUCGGGAGGCUGAGGCAGGAGAAUCGCUUGAACCCGGGAGGCGGAGUUUGCAGUGAGCUGAGAUCGCUCCACUGCACUUCAGCUUGGGCAACAGAGUGAGACUCCGUCUCAAAAAAGAAUGUCAGACACAAAGAAAACUGUGAGGUGCUCCGGGGCCCUGCGAAGCGAAGACUCCCGCAGCAAAGGGAGGAGGAACCCAAAGCGCCAAGGGAGCGGCGGCCGCGGAGCCCACGCCGGGGCCCGAGAUCCGAGCGCACCACGAGGAUGGCAGAAAGGAAUUCCCUAGUACAAAGGACCACAGAAUGUUGACCACAAGAUUCCUCUUCCAAAAGAUACUUGAGAGAUGCCAUCCUAUGAGGAGAUACAAACUGAGGAGCACACGGGGAUACAUGGAAAGCAAGGUUCAGUAAAUAAACGGGCGCGUUUGAUUGUAUUCUCAGUAAGCAGUGACUAAAACCAAAAUCACAUCAACAAAACAAAGAGAAGCACAGGAAUCCAGAACCCAAACUCCAGUGACAAGGCCCCGUUGGAGUGCAGAGCCCGACGGCAGCAGAGGCGGAGGCGUGGCUGACAGAAUAUCAGAAUAUGAGACCAUGAGAAGCAGGUGAAUAUUGUAUCUUGUUUCCAGGAAAGAUGGAAAUUAGGAGGAAAAGUUAAAUUAUAGGUCUUUAUAAAAUAAAGACAAGUCUAAGAAAAUUAAAAUUAAAUAGCUUUUUAAAGCAGUAGAAGAAAAUAUACCUAAUUAUAAAUAACAAGAAAAGAAAAAGAAAUAAAAUGAAGUUUAGUAAAUAAAGCACAAUAUGAGGUAUCAGAAAUAUCAGUAACUGCAAAGAAGCUAAACUUCCCAAAGGACAGAUCUCAGAUUUGCUUGAUGAAGAAAAUGAACAAAUCCAGCAGUUAGUUGUCAUGAAAAGACACACUGAAAACAAUAUGUACUGACUUUUUUUUUAUAAAGGAUUUAAGAAAGAUAUGCUACCAAAUACAAGCCAAUAAUAAAGUUAAGAUGGUGAGUUUGUUACCAGGCAACACAGGAUUUAGAGCAAAAUAGUCCUAAAGAACACAGAGGGGACACUACUGAUAAUAUGACACAUUCAACAAAGUGGAUAACGGUGACAAUAGGCACACAUGUUCCCCAUCAGUGGAAAAUGCACUUUGUUGAAGACACAGGAAGCCGUCAUGAGCAUCUUCUGUGUUAGAGUAUCAAGAAAACCUCAGUAAAUUCUAAAUCACAAACUAGCUCUGAACAAUAUUAUCUGACCACAAUCCAAUAAAACCAUAAGCAAAAGAAUUAUUUUAAAAUUUCAUAUAGGAGGAAAGAAACAAAUCUAUAUUAAAUGUGUUAAAAAUGGGAAAUACUUAGAACUGAAUAAUAGUGAAAGCACUACACGUUAAACUUUGUUGGAAACUGCUAAAGUUGUACUUCAGAAAGAAAUUUGUAACUGUGACAAUACUAAUUAAAAAUAAGAAAAAUAAAAAAGCAAAAGAACUCAGCAUGCAACCCUGAAAGUGAGGGGAAAAAAAGAGUAAACACAAAGAAAUGGAAGGGAACAAAAUACGUUUUUUAAAAAAUCAGCAAAAUUCAGGAAAAAACCCUGAUAAAUAAUAAAAUCUGCUUCUCUGAAAUGUUAGUAAGAAAAACAAUCUCUGGCGAAGAAAAUUUAAAAACUAUUGAAAGGAAACGGAAAAAUAACUGCAGAUUUAACUGAUUUUAAAAGAAAAAAGAGUAUUAGAAACAAUGACAAUACAUUCUAAAACCAAUUGAUAGGGCAAAUUUCUGGGGAAAAAAAUAAAAUACCAAAGAGGGUCAGAAAAAGUCACAGAAAAAAUAAACAGAUGACCAUUAAAAAAUUAAUAGAAAGAGAAGACUUCUAUGAGCAAAAAGGGCCCAUGCUUUUUUACAAGUGAAAAAAUUAAUAGGAAGAGAAGACCUCUAUGAGCAAAAAAGGCCCAUGCUUUUUUACAAGCAGAUUCUAUUAAAAUCUGAAGACCAGCUAUAUUGUCCAGAGGACAAGGUCAAGAGACCUGAGAGAGAGACUGGCCCCACCACGAGAAGAGUCUAGGAUGGUACUUACACACUCUCCCCUGGUCCUAUCCCUCUCCUUACUGCACCAUGAGAAGAGUCUAGGAUGAUAUUCACACUCCACUGGCCCUGUCUCUCACCUUACUACACAAAGUCACCUUCAAGGUCAACAAUCCAGCUUUGUCAUUACCAACAAAUACCAUUGCACCUCGAAUUCAGACGCGUGAAUCUUGCACUCUGGCUACCACCUCCCAUCUUUCCAGCUCCCUUCCCCUGUUUCCCUGACUCUCAACCAUCCUUUGGUUCCACCUCGAGCCACAAUCCAUGGAUCACCUCAAGCUUUCGUUGUCGCUCUGUCCACGGAAGUCCUCUCUUCUCACCACCCAUUGUGACUGCCACGGCCAUUCAUCAUGAUGCCCUUGAACACACACAGCUCCCUUCCCCGCUGUUGCUUCCUGAUCCUCACCCAUGGAAACCACAGCUUGGCUGUCGCUCUCCAUCUAAUCCCUGUGUGCAUCAAUUCAGCCUGAAUUUCGCUGGAGAAAAGCCGAGCACUAUACGGGUCUCACGUUAACUUAACAACCAUGAACCUCAAUGGGGCUUUGGUGCUGCUGGUAUUUACACUACUCGUCCCUGCUCCAAUUGUUUCUUCCCUCAUCUACAUGAGUAUCUUCCACUUGCCCCUCUCUCCUGAAGCCCCCAACAAAUCUCCCCUCCUCACUCACAGGCUUGGAGUCAUCCAAUGAGCUCGUUCACUUAAUUCCCUUCAUUGCUUCUACCCACAUCUAAACAUCAGGAAUGGAACGCUGUGCCUUCCCCCCACUAGCAGAGGGGAACUGUUUGUACCACCAUGUAAGGCGAGCCUCUCCAUAUUUGCAGGCCUCAAGCCCUCUUGCCUACUCCACGAUACUGAACUAGCAAUUCUUUCUUCCCUCUGAUGCCAUCAGUUUUCCCUGUUCUGAAUCACUUCCAUUAUGACAUCUUUACAUUAUAAGAUUUCCUAUCUUAAAAAAAUCCCAAACUGCGAUCUGUCUCUGUCUUGCUACUGCCCCCAUAUAAUUCUCUGCUUCCCUUUAAAAGCAAAACUAUUCAAAAAUGUUGUCUGUGUUCACUCUUUCUUCGUCAAACCCAAUCCAAAAUAGAUGCUUACCACACCUCUCCAAUUCCCUUCCCCAACUCACUGAUAGUGUUUUCCUCAAGAAUUCUGGCUUUUAAUUAUCAUUCUUGUACUUGACCUUCCAAAUGUAUUUGGCAAAGCAUAUCCCUCUUCACUCAUUGAUACAGCUUCUUCUUUUGCCUUCUGGGACUAUGCGCUCCACUGGUUUUCCUUCUGUCUCAUUGGUUGCUCCUUGUAGACUAUCCCCCCCUUGUCUCCAGCCUCACCAAGUUGGAAUAGACAAGGGCUUAGGAUUUGUCCCUCUUUUCUUCCCUGGCUGCAUGCUUUUCCUAUGGGAUUUCACCCAGCAUUGUGGUUCUAAACGCCAUCUGUAUGCAACUGAUUGUUGAAUUGCUGUCUCUAGCACAGGUAUCUCUCAUGAAGUUCGGACUGUAUAUCCUAUUGCCUAUUCCAUAUUUCCUUGUGGAUCUCUAAUUAAACACCCAAACUCAACAUAUCCAAGACAACUCCUGACCUUUUCUUCUCACUCCCAAAAGCUGGACCUUGGGCAGCCCUCAUCUCAGUUGAUGAGAAUUCCAGUUACUAAGUGCCAGGUACUUGGUGUUUCCUUCACUCCUUUCUUUGUCUCAUAUCCCAUAUUGAUUUCACCAGAAAAUCUUUUGGAACCUACUUUCAAAAUAUACCCAUAAUCUUUUUCUCACCACUCCUACUGCUGCUACUUGGUCCAACCUUAGACCAUCUUGGUUCAAAUAGCUGUGAAAUUGAAAAGGGCACCCUUAUUCCUUGUGGGAAGAGGAAUCAGACACAGUCACCCUGCAGAGAAUUCUGUGGCAUUUAUUAAAGGCAAGCAUGCAUCUAUUCAGGGAAUCAGAGAGACUUAUCUGGUUCAUAAGAGAUAUGCACAGCACUGUUUGUGGGAGGAGAGAGUUAGAAGAAACCUAGGUGUCCAUCGCUAGGUGAACAUGUAGGUACCAUGUAGUGAAAACACAUUGUUGAAUUCCAUACCACAGUGAGAAACACAAUUUAGCAACAUGGAGAGAUCUCGAAAACAGCACUGAGUGGGAAAACAGGAUCUGUAACACAAAAGUGUGUGGCUUAAGAUCACAUAUAUAUGGUAUAUCUUUCAAGGAUACAUUUGUAUCCAAGGACAUUUAAUAAACACAAUUGAGUUGAUGCUUUGGUAAGGGAAGGAUUGGGUCAUUGAUGGACAAUGAAGGGAAAAAUAAUGAAAUGAAAUAAGAGAGUCCUUGACAGACCAGUAAUAGCACUGUGCUACAUGACUCAUCCAACUCUCUUCACUGGUGAGAAAGAAAGAGAGCAUACUAAAGCUAAAAGAAGUCUUAGCAAUUAUUUUAACCCAAUCUCUGCCUUAAAACACACACAUUCUAUUAUAUCUAGCACCAACUCUGCUUCAGUCAUUUUAUAGAAGAACAUCAGCUAUACAUUUAAGGAAAUCCAAUAGUCAAAAAACCCCUUUUAUAGAAGAACAGAGCUUUUCUAGGAAAUCUGCUGAUGGAAGAGGGGUAGAUCAGGUUUUCUAAAAUGGCAUCAUGGUGGAUAAGUUAUUUUAAAGUGUCUGUUGCUCAACACACACACACACACACACACACACAAUCACACACACCAGAACUCUUUAAAAGCUGGAAAAAAAAUGUGAAUAAAAUAAAACCAGAGCUGGGUGAAGGCAAUCAUAGAAGCCAGUGUGCCAAAAUUUGCAUACAAAAGUCAAAACUGGCAACAUAGUUUUGGGAAUUAUUGUGGCCACUUAGGGGAAUGAGAGAUUGGGCUCUGAAUCUGCUUGCCAAUUUGCAUAGUUGAAUUAAAACCUCCUACACAAAGGCAGGACAAUUGGAGGAACUCUAGCUUCAGAGAAAUGGUGGGUGAAAAAAAAAAUCUGACUGCCUGCAAGAGAACCAAGGAAGAACAUCUUGAGCUCUGUCCUUUUUCCAAAUGGAAAAAAUAUCGUCUCCCUGAGAAUAUAGGAGCAAAGCUUGGUCUUGUGCACCUGGAGUCCAAAUGUGCACCCCCACACCAUGCUCAAGGAGCCCCAGGCUGAGGCAUUAAACAUUUCCAGGCAGGCAGCACCCAUUAUAUUUUCAGGUAAAUCUCUGGAGAAAAUCAUCCUGAAUCUUGGUUCCUGGGGAUUCUCACAUAUUAUAUUUGGCUAAAUAUUAGUGCCUGCACAUGUGCGCGCACACACACACACACACACACACAACCAUGCAAUGAAAAAAGUCACUGAGUGAGAAUAAGUGGAAGCCACAAGUAAUCUAUUUCCAUUCUCAAAGACUUCAGUCACUGUAAAGAUUAAAUACCAAAUAAAAAUAGCCAAGAAAAUUGAAAGAAUAUAAGUGAGAGAACAAGGAAGAUAUAACUGAUAAGUUUUCAGAACUGAUGAAAAUAAAGGAAACCAAAGAGACACACCAGGAGAAAGUGGAAUGGUAUCUUUAAAAAAACUAGAAAAACAAAUGCAAUCCAAAUUGCUGUACAUGAUCAAGUGAUCUCCCAAGGUCAAGAGUGGGAUAAUAAUAUUUUUCAGAAAAGCAAAAACUGAAAGCACUUACAACGAGAGUCGUACCUAGAGAAACUUUGGCAGGAUCAACCUCAGAAAGAAUGCAAAGCAUCCCAAGAGAAGACGUGAUAAUUGAGGGAACUGAGAGCAAGCGGGAAAGUCUAAACCAACAUUGGCUUAUAGAACACCAAUGGAAAUGUCUAAUUUCUGGGGCUAAAGUUAAAAAUAUGAAAUUAUAUGUACAAUGAUAGCAGAUUAGUCAGAUGGAGGAUGAUAAAAAAAAUCCUAAGGUCUUUGUUCUAUUCACGAAAAGGGUAGAUAUGUUAAAUUCACUUUAGAUUUAUUAUUUUAAUUGGAUAUAUACAGGGAGAGCCAAUACAGUAAGUAAAUGCAAGAAAUAAGAAAAAAGCAUGAUACAGGAAACAGAAAAAUAGAAAGCACAAAAAUGAGAUGGUGGAAAUAAACCCAAAUGCACUAGUCAUCACAAGGAAUGGAUUAGGUAAAAAGACAAAGAUUUCCAGAUGAGAAUUAAAAAAUUAAGUUAUAUGCUUUUUGCAAGAGAUAUGCCUAAAGCCUAAGAAUAUAGGAAUAGAAUACUUAGGUAAUUAAUUGAAAAAUGUAUGCCAGGCAGAUAACAACUCAAAGAAAUCUGGCAUAGUACUAUUAAUAUCAGAGGAAAAGCCUAAAAGGCAAAAACCAUUAUUACAGAUGAAGAGGGUCAUUAUAUUUUUAUUUAAGUUUAAGUUGCCCAUGAGGUUAUAAAGAUCUAAAUAUUUAUGGAUGUAAUAAAAUGCCACAAAAUAUAAGAAAAAUUGACAGAAUUACAUGGAGAUAUAGGCAAAUUCAUUAAUACCCUUGAAUAUAUUCAUAUAACUUAGUUAGAAAGUGAUAGGCCAGGCUGAAAAUAUUUAGUACCGAUAGAAAUAUUUGAACCAGACAAUUAACAAGCUGGAUUUAGUGGGCAUAUAAUGAAAACUGCUUAACAAUUUGAGAGCCAUUAUUUUCAUUACUACAGAGAAAAUCUACACAAAUAUCAUGUGCCCUGUCACAAAAGAAGUCUAAAUGAAUUUCAAAGAUUAUAUUAAAGCAGGCCACAUUCUCUGAUUAGACAGCAAUCAAGUUGUAAAUCAGUAAGAGACAGACAACAUUAAAAAUGCACAUAUUCUGACAUUUUAUAGCUUUCUAAUUCCAAUGUCAACCAUCAAUUUAAAAAAUUCAAAAUGCAAACGAAAAGAAGGCACCUCAACAACAAUAAAAAUUCCACAUCAAAAUAUGUGAGGGACAGUUCAAGUAAGGCCUAAAAGGAAGUGUAGAAGAUUAUGUGAGGAGAGAAAAUUAGUAAAGCAUUAACAGGUUAAUCUUUCUAUUUCAGAAGUUAGAAAAAGCAUAACAGUGGAAGCCUAGAAAGUAGAAAAAAGGAGAUAAUAACAAACAGAGAUUCAACAGGGAGGGCCAACGAUGUCAAAACUGGUUCUUUGAAAAGAUUAAAAAUAAACCUCUGACCAAGAAAUGUAGGGAGGAGUCACAAAUACUCAAUAUUUGACCUGCAGAGGAGAUCAUAGGUAGAUUUCAAAGGUUGUUAAGAAUUUUAAAAUUUUAAACAAAUUCCUAGAAGUAUACCAAAACUAGCUUCAAAAAAUCUGAGAUUAGCUGUAUUUAAAUUAGAAAGCCUGAAUAAUCUCAUAAGUAUUAAACAAACUGAAUGAAUAUUUUAAAAUCCUUCCACAAAGAGAACACCAGACUCAUACAGUUUUACAGGUGAAUUCUGCCAAAUCUUUAAGGAAAAAACAGUUUUAAAGUGAUACAAACUUGUCUCAAAAAUAGAAAAAGAGAGAGAAAACUCCCCCGGCCAUUCUUUGAGUCUUGUAUAACCUUGAUAUUAAAAUCAAACAAAGUAUAGACAACUGAAAAUCAUGAGCUGAUCUCAUUCAGGAACAGAUAGAUGUAAGAUGCUUAGACCUGUGAUAAUAAUAAGAACAAUAACAGUAGCAGUAACUAUUGGCUAAACCAAUUUACGCGUGGCUUCUUGGUUGCAGCGAGUUGGCCUUCAUACCUGUGCUUCCUGGUCCCUGGUCGUCACCUUUUUCCCCGAACACCUGUGAGGUGUGUUGAAGAGUGAAGGGAGAAGAUCUAGCCGACUUAGGAGGGCUCCCUGUGAGCCGACUUAGGGCCUCCCGGUGAGGUGGAGGGAUGUGAGGAAGGCAGACAGGCGGGGCCGGUCCACAGGGAUUCAGUUGGCCACGGGCAUAGGCUCGGUGCUGUGGGUCCCUGCCUUUGUCUUCCGGGCUGUGAGUCUUUGCUCAGCACCAGCCAGCGCAGGCUUGGUUUGCAACGAUCAUGAUUCAGGGCAGAAGGUCUUGGUCCCUGUCCUUGAGAAGCUUCCAGUCUCCUGAGAAAGAUACACAUUCAUCCAAAAAUUAAACAAAUAAAUGCAAAUGUGCAACCUGUGAUAAGAAGGAAGGACAUGAAGUUCUGUGGAGCUCUGAGAGACUGUAAUGGGGAUGCAG
Molecule: long non-coding RNA, 13106 nt
Filed under: Homo sapiens (human)
Lineage: Eukaryota; Metazoa; Chordata; Mammalia; Primates; Hominidae
Description: non-protein coding lnc-IRS2-1:6
Source: RNAcentral